UGUGACUCUAGGGAACCCUGACUAAUA
Molecule: non-coding RNA, 27 nt
Filed under: Mus musculus (house mouse)
Lineage: Eukaryota; Metazoa; Chordata; Mammalia; Rodentia; Muridae
Source: RNAcentral